Molecule: ribosomal RNA, 243 nt
Filed under: uncultured Actinomycetales bacterium
Lineage: Bacteria; Bacillati; Actinomycetota; Actinomycetes; Actinomycetales
Description: partial 16S ribosomal RNA
Rfam family: Bacterial small subunit ribosomal RNA
Source: RNAcentral
GCUCGAGUGGCGAACGGGUGAGUAACACGUGAGUAACCUGCCCUUGACUUUGGGAUAACUUCAGGAAACUGGGGCUAAUACCGGAUAGGAGCUCCUGCUGCAUGGUGGGGGUUGGAAAGUUUCGGCGGUUGGGGAUGGACUCGCGGCUUAUCAGCUGUUGGUGGGGUAGUGGCUUACCAAGGCUUUGACGGGUAGCCGGCCUGAGAGGGUGACCGGCCACAUUGGGACUGAGAUACGGCCCAG